This 500-nucleotide ribosomal RNA is filed under the name uncultured bacterium. RNAcentral describes it as "partial 16S ribosomal RNA". It matches the Rfam family "Bacterial small subunit ribosomal RNA", at positions 30 to 523 of the family's 1533-position model. The record is from RNAcentral.
AUUGAACGCUGGCGGCAUGCCUUACACAUGCAAGUCGAACGGCAGCACGGGAGCAAUCCUGGUGGCGAGUGGCGAACGGGUGAGUAAAGUAUCGGAACGUGCCCAGUCGUGGGGGAUAACGUAGCGAAAGUUACGCUAAUACCGCAUACGAUCUAUGGAUGAAAGCGGGGGAUCGCAAGACCUCGCGCGAUUGGAGCGGCCGAUAUCAGAUUAGGUAGUUGGUGGGGGAAAGGCUCACCAAGCCGACGAUCUGUAGCUGGUCUGAGAGGACGACCAGCCACACUGGGACUGAGACACGGCCCAGACUCCUACGGGAGGCAGCAGUGGGGAAUUUUGGACAAUGGGCGAAAGCCUGACCCAGCCAUGCCGCGUGCAGGAUGAAGGCCUUCGGGUUGUAAACUGCUUUUGUACGGAACGAAAAGGUUUGGCCUAAUAAGCUGAGCUCAUGACGGUACCGUAAGAAUAAGCACCGGCUAACUACGUGCCAGCCGCCGCGGUAA